Molecule: ribosomal RNA, 695 nt
Filed under: uncultured bacterium
Lineage: Bacteria
Description: bacterial SSU rRNA
Rfam family: Bacterial small subunit ribosomal RNA
Source: RNAcentral
CCUUCGGGGGCACACGAGCGGCGAAAGGGUGAGUAACGCGUGGAUACCUACCCCCUGGACCGGAAUAGCGGCGGGAAACUGCCGGUAAUGCCGGAUAACCUCUCCGGAGCAAAUGGGACUGCCGCCGGGGGAUGGGUCCGCGUCCUAUUAGCUUGUUGGUGGGGUAACGGCCUACCAAGGCUGCGAUGGGUAGCGGGCGUGAGAGCGUGGCCCGUCACACUGGGACUGAGACACUGCCCAGACGUCUACGGACGGCUGCAGUCGAGAAUCUUUGUCAAUGGGCGCAAGCCUGAACAAGCGACGCCGCGUGCGGGAUGAAAGCCCUCGGGUUGUAAACCGCUGUCAGAGGGGAGGAAAUCGAUCGGGCCCACUCGGUCGUUGACCUAGCCUCAGAGGAAGUCCGGGCUAAGUUCGUGCCAGCAGCCGCGGUAAGACGAACCGGACAAACGUUAUUCGGAAUCACUGGGCUUAAAGGGUGCGUAGGCGGCGCGGCAGGUGGGAUGUGAAAGCCUCCGGCUCAACCGGAGAAUUGCGUCUCAAACCGCCGUGCUCGAGGGAGACAGAGGUGAGCGGAACUUGCAGUGGAGCGGUGAAAUGCGUUGAUAUUGCAAGGAACACCCGUGGCGAAAGCGGCUCACUGGGUCUCUUCUGACGCUGAGGCACGAAAGCUAGGGUAGCGAACAGGAGUAGAUACC